Molecule: long non-coding RNA, 2797 nt
Organism: Bos taurus (domestic cattle)
Lineage: Eukaryota; Metazoa; Chordata; Mammalia; Artiodactyla; Bovidae
Source: Ensembl
GUAGGAAGUUUGAACCCUGUCUUCCACCACACUGUGUUUUGAGGCUCCUUUUCUGCCCAGUGGAAAUGAUUAAUGGCAUUGUGCUUUGUUUUCUCUGAUGAUGCCAAGGAAUGAAUGUAGUGUCUAGUAUUAAAAUUAAGAUAUGGCAGUGAGGAGAGUCACCGGAGAAUUGUAAAUGAUAAAAGGGACUGAAAGUGCGAAUGGCACAAAUGAGGUGUGUGACCCAGAAAGCUGCAGUGACAUCCACUGUUGUUGCGUCGGCAGUGACAAAGAGGACAGAGUUCCCUGUGGGACAUGACUGCAUGGUGGCAGUUUCAUGAGCAGGAGCCUGGUGGAAAGGGGCCAGGUGGGGAAAAGUAGCUAAGAUGAAGCAUAGGCUUCCCUGGUGGCUCAGAUGGUAAAGAAUCUGCCUGCAGUGCAGGAGCUCCGGGUUCGAUCCCUGGGUCAGGAGGGAAGGCGAUGGCACCCUACUCCAGUAUUCUUGCCUGGAGAAUCCCAUGGACAGAGAAGCCUGGUGGGCUACAGUCUGUUGGGUUACUAAGAGUCAGGACACAAUUGAGCGACUAACACUUUCACACUUUCUCUUUCAUAAUAUAUGUGAGCAUGUUUCAAAGCUAUGCAUGUGCUACAGAAAUAUAAAUUAUUAUUGCUAAAUUAGAAAUGUUUAUCGUGGAAGCAUAUUUCCAUGAGAGCUAUUUUAUCACCAAUAGAGAAGUUGCAGAGUUCUGGAGACGUGUGAACCUCGCUGCUCCGUUGUUGAUAUGGGUUCAGCACGCUCGAAGGCUACAGCUCGGUGAAGUCAAACAAUAUCCUCAUCAAGAGAAAGAAGCAAAAGGGCAACUUCCAAAUAAAGCACAGCUGUGUCGGAGUGAAAAAUACCUUUAUAGGGGAAAAGAGAAUGUCAGGGUGUAGCGUGCCUCCUGGAGAAAAAGAAGGGCUUGAACUCUCAGGAAUGGGAUUACGUAACACACGGUCAGUUCUUCUGACCUUGAGAGUAAGGGAGAGUCCUUUCGAUUGUGGGUCAGAAAGAUCGUGGGUCUCAGGGUCUCUGCCCACUGCACCCCUCUCCCAAGCCCCCCAACUGCUGAAGGCCACGUGGAGCAGGAGGAUGGGGGAAGCACCAGCAGGUUGAGUGAUCCCAGCAAGUCCCCUCCUGCAUCCGGGAACCUGUGCAUUGCUGUCCGCUGCCGGGCGCAGCCCUUGUCCGCGGCGUCUGCCGGCGGGCAGGCGAUUUGGGCCCCGGGGGUGCGUUGCAGGACUUCAGUCAGUGCCCAGCUGCACACAGCAGCCCCCCGGGCAUCGUGAGUGCUUUACUGGGAGCUGAGCGCCUCCUGACCCACGGAUGCUCGCAUGCAGCCAUCGUGGACUGUCUGCUAGGCUGGCUUCUCUGUCUCCUUUCCUGGGAAUCACUGCAUCGCCCAGCUGCACCGAUCAUUAACAACUUCUUGAAGCGUGCAGCCCCAGCUCACUUCCCCUAGGCUCCAGGCAGUCGAGGCUUGCCCUAUUUGGCAGUCGCCUGAGUAGCUAUGAGCACUAGUGAUGUUAUUGGCCGAGGAGUUGAACAGAAGCUGAAUAAAGUUUGGCUCUGUGCAUCCUUCAGGGCACAGCUCCUGGUCCCGGGGUGGAAAAACAACAGAAAUGGGCCCCUGAACGUGUUCUCGAGCGGCACACACUGUGACUGGGCUUCGACCAUCCGCGCCUCCGCCCGACCCGGAGCUCCAGACUUGUGCUCCCGUCUCUUUGGUCUCCAAAUCUUAGCGUGAAAUAUUGAGUACCCUAGGAAAGCUAAAUUAAUGGUAGAAUAAGUAUCGUUUUGCAUGAUGAAAAGUAAGAGAAGAUAUCCUGCCUAACUUUCACAGUUGGCUAUCCCAAGUGCCUUUCCUUGGGACUGUAGGAUCCAAGUGAACGAGUGUCCCAGAUUCUUGACGUCUUCCUGGUGAACAUGGGUACCACUGGCUGACUCUUCUUGGAGAAGUUGGUAGUAUUUUACUCAUUGAGGCUGGGAAGUGACACAAAUUUGGCUUAAAGCAACGAGACCAUUGUGAACACUUAUAUCAUAUUACAAGCAUCCUGGGAGAUUCCGCAGACACUAAUGAGGAGAAAGAAGAGGCGCCGGAGUCCCUCUAGUUGAAUAGCCAGUAGAGUUGUAGCUGCAGCAUCUGAUGUGGUACCUAACACAAAGGAGAUGCCCGGUGAUUACCUGUUGAAUGAAUGGAUGGAUGAAUGGAUGCCCUUAAACGCAGUGCAGCUUGAUGAGCCUGAACCUCGGCUGGAUUCAGAUGCCAUCAAAGAAGCAUUUCUUACUGGUGGAAAGUAAACCUGACCUUGGAGACAAAGAGUCUGGCCUGGUCUCAGGGAGAGAAGCGUGACUUUGACUGCCGAUGUGUUAGCUCUUCUGAUUGGGACACGUCAGAGCAAGAGAAGAGCAUCUCUAGUUGAGCGUGGGAUCUUAGUUCUCUGACCAUAGUGAUCCCAUGCCCCCAGGAGUGGAAGUGCGGAGUUCUAACCACUGGACCACCAAGGAGUCCCUCUAUAUGAUGUCGAUUCUUUGGAAUUUAUUGUUUCUUGUGGCCUGUUACAUCAUCAUUUUUCAGGAGUGUUCUAAGCACAUUUCUCUCCUUCAUGCAAAGUCUUAUCUAAAGCUACUAGUUUCAGUUUAUUCGCUGUGUUAUUAUAUUCUAUUGUUUUGCUACUUUAUUGUCUGCGUGAUCCAUCAGUUUCCAAGAGUGUAAGUUAAUAUCAUAAUUACAAUUUUAGAUAUAUCCACUUGUCUCCUUAUUCUGAGACAAGAUUGUUA